CCCACCAAGGCGACGAUGGGUAGCCGGCCUGAGAGGGUGUCCGGCCACACUGGGAUUGAGAUACGGCCCAGACUCCUUCGGGAGGCAGCAGUCGAGAAUCUUCCCCAAUGGGCGAAAGCCUGAGGGAGCGACGCCGCGUGAGGGAUGAAGGCCCUUUGGGUUGUAAACCUCUGUUAGGGGGAAAGAACAGCAGUGGGAGCAAUAUGUCCAUUGCCUGACGUUACCCCCAGAGAAAGCUCCGGCCAACUCCGUGCCAGCAGCCGCGGUAAUACGGGGGGAGCAAGCGUUGUCCGGAAUCAUUGGGCGUAAAGGGCGUGUAGGCGGUUUGGCAAGUCGAAUGUGAAAUCCCACGGCUCAACCGUGGAACUGCGUUCGAAACUGCCUUACUUGAGUGCGGGAGAGGUGUGCGGAAUUCCUGGUGUAGCGGUGGAAUGCGUAGAUAUCAGGAAGAACACCGGUGGCGAAGGCGGCACACUGGCCCAGCACUGACGCUGAGGCGCGAAAGCGUGGGGAGCGAACGGGAUUAGAUACCCCGGUAGUCCACGCUGUAAACUUUGGGCACUAGGUAUUGGAGGUCUCAACCCCUUCAGUGCCGUAGCUAACGCG
Molecule: ribosomal RNA, 606 nt
Filed under: uncultured bacterium
Lineage: Bacteria
Description: bacterial SSU rRNA
Rfam family: Bacterial small subunit ribosomal RNA
Source: RNAcentral